RNAcentral lists this small nuclear RNA (164 nucleotides) under Salmo salar (Atlantic salmon). Its description in RNAcentral is "U1 spliceosomal RNA (multiple genes)". It matches the Rfam family "U1 spliceosomal RNA". Rfam says of the family: U1 is a small nuclear RNA (snRNA) component of the spliceosome (involved in pre-mRNA splicing). Its 5' end forms complementary base pairs with the 5' splice junction, thus defining the 5' donor site of an intron. There are significant differences in sequence and secondary structure between metazoan and yeast U1 snRNAs, the latter being much longer (568 nucleotides as compared to 164 nucleotides in human). Lineage: Eukaryota; Metazoa; Chordata; Actinopteri; Salmoniformes; Salmonidae. The record is from Rfam by way of RNAcentral.
AUACUUACCUGGCAAGGGAGAUACCGUGAUCAAGAAGGCGGUUCACCCAGGGCGAGGCUCAGCCAUUGCACUCCGGCUGUGCUGACCCCUGCGAAUUUCCCAAAUGUGGAAAUCUCGAUUGCAUAAUUUAUGGUAGUGGGGGACUGCGUUCGCGCUCGCCCCUG